CUGUUUAAGAAAAAAAAAAUAAAUUGAGUAGCCUAUAUAUUGUAACUCCAACCAAAUGUAUUUCUCUGUGAACUGUGAAAGGUUCUGCCUGUGCCUUUCUUGAUCUGCUCCUAAAAAUGGAAUAUUCUGUGUGUGAGUUCAUUUACACCAGAGAGCUGCUUCUGAUUUACUCUCAUGCAAGUUAGAACAGCAGUUAGAUCAGGAUUUCAGUUUUAGCAUGCAGACUGCUACAACUGGAAACUCCAAAAAGGCAUUGUAAGAGGAAAGGAUGUGAAGCUCCAUUUUUUGUAUUUCUCAGAAUAUAGUAACGUUACAAAGGGAGCGAGAGCUGGAAGAAACAUUCUCAGUGCUACUUGUUUAAUGCAAGAGUGCAAUUUCUGCUCCAUCGGUCAUCUGAAAUUUCCUACCAAAACGUGUGCAGGAAGCCCAGGAUCGACGUCCUUUAUUAAAAGCUCAGACGUGGUUGGGCCCAGCUGUAGAGAUGAUUUGUUACUCGAGAAGGUUUAUUAACUGGCUGGGGAACACUCCUCUCCCGUUUUAUAUCAGCCGACAGAGCCUAUGUCUGAUAAAGGACUGAUAACAUUUCUUCAGAGGCGCUACCAGCGAGCGAUUAGAACAGUACACACGCUUUUCCCCUUGCCCUUGGCGUUUGAUGACAGUAAAUUAUUGCCGAAGUGUGAAGGCAUUGCUCA
Long non-coding RNA from Vidua macroura (Pin-tailed whydah), 692 nucleotides. RefSeq lists it as uncharacterized. Lineage: Eukaryota; Metazoa; Chordata; Aves; Passeriformes; Viduidae. The transcript has 5 exons. The record is from RefSeq and is a predicted model, not a curated record.